This is a long non-coding RNA of Falco peregrinus (peregrine falcon), 13257 nucleotides long. RefSeq lists it as uncharacterized. NCBI's taxonomy places the organism in Eukaryota, Metazoa, Chordata, Aves, Falconiformes, Falconidae. The record is from RefSeq and is a predicted model, not a curated record. The transcript has 7 exons.
GGCUGCAGUGAGAUAGAACAGCUACCAGAAGGCUUAACCUGCAAUAACCGAGGUAGCCUAACUCUUUCUAGAAGGAAAGUGCAAUAGGGAAGUCUCAAAUGAAUAAGACUCUCUGUGUUCCCCUGCCAGCUUCUCCACUUUAAUUGAGACAAUGAGGUGUUUGCUGAAGUGCUCUUGAUGUCCCAGUGCUCUGCAGGGAGUAGGAGGUGGGGAAAACUUGGUCAGACCUGUCAAUAGGCUGCUUUUGCACCCACACAGGCCACAUGGACAGUGUCAGGAACAACUUUAAUGAUCCUUAUACUGUAACGAUCUGCCCUUCUGAGAGCAUGGGGAUUUUCACAUAUGACCAGUGUGAUCUGGCCUCUUCUGGCUGAUCUUAAUAGUGUAAGAUGAGAAAUAAGACUUUCAUUUACAAUAGUAUUUCAUACCACCAGAACUAGAAGCUGUGCUGCUUUUGCUGCGUUUUCUUUGGUUAAGGGCAUUGCACAGUUUACUAGGUUUAGUUACCGCCUUUUCUUGUGCAGGGAGAAACUGCUUCUGGAGUACUUCUAACUACCAGCAGACUUGCAUGGUUAUGUGUAAAGCUGAACUGCAACUUUUGUCUAGGACUGCAGGAGCUUGUUCUGUGGGGCACUUUUUACAGUAUUUUUCCUCUUUUCUUUCUUUUUUUUUUUUUAAAUAAAAAAAUAAAAUAUUGCUCAGAGCUGAAGCUCUACUGUUCCUAGGUCUAUGCUAGCCACUGCAGGCAAGUGUGGAGGUGGUGAGUGUGCUGUUGGAAGUAGAGCUUUGCAGAGAGGAUUUAUUCCUGGAGUAGGAAUCGGAGCCUGUGUGCUUAACCUGCUGUGUGGUAACAUUGAGCUCUGACUUGAAUCCAAAUGAGAAAUAUUCUUCAGCAGUACCACAUGAAGGGAUACCCUUUAGACAUGGGAGUCUGCUUUCUUUGGUGAAGAGGAUGGUUAUGGGUGCAGGUAUGAAGAUCUGGAGUUGAUCUCUGCAGCUGCUGAUUUUACUCCGCAUGUUGCGGAGGGACAUAUUUUUGAACAAAAUGUGUUUUUUUCUUAUUGUUUUUCUUUACACACUGCUGCCUGGGGCUAAGAGCACGUGGCAUGCUAGCAGUUCCCCUAAGUUGUGCGUGCUUUAGCAGGAAGUAAUUAUCUCUGAUCAUUUCAUUUCCUAGCAGUACCACUCUUACCCUGACUGGUAACUUGGAAAACCUGCUGUCCUAAGAUCUUGAUCAUCUCAUUUGCAUGUUGCGUGGAAGAUGGGGCAAGGGGGCCUGUUAAUAGUUCAUCUGGUUAUGAGACAUGAAACAAGUGAGUAAAAUGCUUUCAAACUCCAUUAUUCCUUAAAGACAACAGAGUUUAGACUAAUGGUGUGUUUUCAGAAUUGAUUUGAAGGGCAAGAUGGUGCCCUCCUAUUUUCUGUCACAAAAUGCCACUUGCCAAUCCAAGUGGUGUCUGCUGUUCUACUGAUGGUAUUUCAAACUUGACAAAGAACCUGACUGUGCAAGGAAAAAUUCUUCAUCAUGUCCACAUCUUCGAGAUUCAGCGUGAGUGGCAGUUGUUUAACGUUCCGAAAUGUUAUUUUGGGUAUCUGCACCAAGGUCAGUUCACUUACUAAAAAAAUUGAAGGCUGUGUAUAAAUAAUGCCGUGUCCUAGCUUGCAAAAUGGUACAUAAAAUAAAUCUUUCUUUUAUGUGGACCCUAGACCCAAACAGCUAAGCUCCUUGCCAGAACUUUUUUCAAUCUCUGUGAGAACGUAAGGCAUAGUUUGGCUGUAAGUAGGGUAUAGUACUGGUGUUCUUGCAAAGAAGACGCAAACAAAACAUUCUGUUUGGGUGCCUGUCCUUGCUGUGUGAAAGACCAGAGCAGCUUAGGAGGUGUUUUGUAGAGGCUAGAGAUGUGGUAUGUCCCUCUUGUGGAAGACUUUUCUGCUGCCUGGAUUUGAUCUUGAAUCCUGGGAAAGGAAGGCUGACUGUUAAGUGUUAGCCUCGCAAGAGUCUGACACGCCAAGGAACAGUUCAGGAGUCUGAAUGCUGUGGCUGCCAGUGCCGCCUUUGUAGGAAUUCCGGUGCGGGGUGGAGCUCAGGAGGUCACAGGAGGGAGAGAGUAUUCUCCAGGAUAACAGGUUUAACAGUAAAACUGGUCUUUUGCCUUAUUUUCAUGAAAUGUUGCAUUAGCACAAAUGUACCAGCAGUGUGGGCUGCAGCAUGGAACCUCAGGCUCUAAAAAUCGAUGGAGAGAAUUUCAGAAAAAUCUUUAAUCUUUUUUAUUGGAAUCGGCAUGAAUGUAUGAUUCAAUAAAUAUAUUUUAUAUACAUAUAACAGCAGAAACUUUACAUUCCAUCUUCAAACUGCUGAAAUAGAACUUCUGUUUUAAAAUUUUUUACAAGCCAGAAAAAUAAUCUGCCACUGUUUCUGUGUGGUCAUGCAAAUUAUGUACGUUACAGGUUUAUUUCAUCAUGACGUAAAAAUGCUGCUCUUAAGGAAGCAGUUGCUUUGCACUCUGACCAAUGUAGCAAAAUAUCAUUAAAUGGAGUGUAAGGCCAUACCAACUUUGUGUAUGUAUAUAUUUAUGUAUAUAUAAUAAAUUCAUAGAGAAAAGAUGGGAAGGUACCUUUUUAAGGUGGGUAGGGACAAGAUAUGUAAGCAUUUCAUGAUCAGACUAGGGUGUGCUAUAUUCUGUAUUUCCGUAGUCACUCCUCUGCUUUUGAGGGGAGACUAGCAUGAAAAUUAAUAAGCAUUUUUCCAUUAUCUUUUCAGACCUGUGUUAAUGAACCAGUUGCACUGAACAAGAGAGCACUUGAGUUGCCCACUUCACUCUUCCUUCUUGCCUUAACUCCGGUGAUUAAUUCUUAAUCUCUGAAUACUUUUCUGAUUAUCUCCUGUGAGAUGCUGAUAUAUUAGCACGCGCCUUGCAGGGGAGAAAACUAAAACAGCUGAAUAUGAACUGUUUCAAUGCCUGUUUUAAGCUUAUCUGAAAUUAAAGGGAGGUGAGUUUUGUCCUCUUAACAGCAGAUGCCUCUCUCUCCUAUGCAUAAGAGUUGAUAAAACCGGGGGAGUUUUAAUGCCACUGCUUCCUUCUGAGGUCUCGCUAAGACUGACGAAAGAAAAUACUCUGACCUUGUUACCUGUCCUUUCUUCAUUUUGAACAAACUUGAGAAAAUAGCUGUAUCCUGAUUUGAUUUUUUUUUUUUCCAACAAGCACACACACACGGAAAUGCAAAACUAGUUCCUAUCUGGAUUUGGUAUUUACAGAAGAGCAUUGAUAAAUGGGCUCUGAUGGAUGGGUGUGUCAAGAGGGUAUAAUCCUCAGGCGUCUGUCCUGCCCCUUUGCAGGAGGGACUGUCCCACAGCUGAGGUCUUGGCCUGUGUUGGCAAACCCCAUGUUUUUACCCUGAGCUCCACUAGAGAGUGGAGGGUGACUGGUAUUGCCCUCUCUGGGAGGGACGGGCUUUGCUGGCGGAGGGAUGGGGCAGCCAGUAACAUGCUCCACUGCAGCUGCUAAACCCAGCACAGCUCGUUUGUCAGAGCCCUUGGCUGUCCCUGGUGUAAACAGCAUCAAGGCGCUGUUGUGUUUUGGAACAAAUGAGCUUUAGUAAGUCAAGGUUUGGAAACAAAGAUUUCCUUGAUACAAAUAGCUUACAGAUGGGAGAGAGACAGAAAAUGGGACAAAACAACGCCGCUCCUUAACAGGCUUUUUUCAACAGUUUUGGGGAGGUAUUCUUAGAUACUGGAUUUCUGGGGGUUUCGCCAGUGAGGUGGAUACUUCAAGGAAAAUGAGAUAAUAUUUAUCAGGGACAUAAGGAAAACACUCUCUAAGUACUGAACUGUUCCCACUUCUGUUUGUUUUGUAUGUUUUCAAUUAGUAUUCCUGCUGUGAGUAUGUAUCUCCCCUCCAAAGUAAAACCAAGUGUGCGAUGGUUGUCCUGAAGAGAAAUAUCUUAAAUAUUUUUAUUUUUCUUCUAAAGAUAAAUUCAUUUACAAAACAAUGUAAAUGGGUGUGCGUUUGUAGUGGGAAGGGAGGAAUUCCUGGGUCCUCCUCUCCCUUUUUUUUUUUUUUUUAAUCACUUACAUCUAAGUUUUUCAUUACUCCUCAUCUGUUUUAACAUAGUAAGCAUGAUAUGCUGUACACGGUGGUAGAAUGUGAGUAGACAACACAGUCCAUAAAAUGUCAUGGUCCACAACGACGUUAGCCUGCUUAUGGCUGUUGUUUAUCUCAAGUGCGUGGUUACAAACAGCUGCUUGGGACAGGCUUGUGCAUCUUCAGGAUUCAAAGGCUGCUUCCAAAGUGGCGUUCACCAGUGCUGCAGGGAUGGUAAAUUGCAAUGAAAUGCACUGUGACCUUUGCAUGUCAGGCCAUUUUUGGAUGAAGUCCUUAGUGUGUUGCUUCAUCUUUACAUCUCUCUCUAGAUCUCUUAAUUCAGUGGGGUUUUACUGUAUCUCAAACACAUGUGUGCAUGGCUUUUAGCACAGUUGCCUUCUAUUUCAGUUCUUUUGAAACCAUCAUCUCUUUCCUGCAGCUCGGUAAGUCCAUGAAAGAAGAGGUGAGGUCUGGCCAUGAUCAGUGCUGUCAGUAUGUCGUGGCCAGACUCGGGAACCACACAAACUUAUCUUUUCGUGUAUGAAUUCCAUUUCACGGUAGGCUUGAGAUGCUCCAGGCAGUGCAUUUUUCAGGAUAAUUAAUUCCACAUGCAUGUGGUGAGUGAAGUCACUUGGCCUUUGUGCCUUAAUCUCUGUGUCUGUCACCUCAGAUGCUUCUGGAGUUGAGCUGUGUCGCCUGACUUACCGCACCAGCUGCAGGGAGUGCAGUGCUGGGUGUACAGUGAGGUGCUCUGACGUUGCAGUGAGCAGCAAGAUGGAGCUCAAAGGCAGAGUUUAAGCACAACAGAUUGCCCUUCCCAGCAAGGGGAAGGUGUAUUACAUACCUGUCUCUCCAAAUCUCACAUAACAUCACUGUUUAGACCUUAACGCUUAUUUCCCAGAAAUUCCAAUUGGGAUGCUCCUGAAGCUGACAGAUCCCCAACUCAACCUACUGUCUUGAUCUAAUUUAAGGAGGGAUGUAUCAGUCAUGGGUUUGAAAUGCAAGUGUCUUUCAGCUGCUCUGUCAAGUUUAGUAACCCUGCUCAGUGCUGGAGGGCUGUGAAGGGGCAUCAACCUGGGCGUGGAGCCGCUGGUUUUGUGGUUCUCCACUUUUGAGUAGGUUAACUUAAAGAUUUGUCAGUUUGGUCUGUGAUGCUACUGAGCUUAUUUUCCCUGCUUACUACUUCUCUGACCCUGGAGUUGGAAGUAUGCAAGUGUUUUGGACUGAAACACAAGCAGGUUUGGGAAGGGGAGGACAGAAAGGAAAGGGUACAAGUUCAGUGUGGGCAAUGGCAGGGCAGGGUGUUCCAAAGCCCUUGUUCAGUUGUUUGCCCAGCCUAGGCAAGCAGAAGGUAAGGGAACUUGUGUUCCCUUCUGCUAAGAUUUUGUUUGGUCAAUCUCUAGCUGGGCAUUUCUUGUAGAGCUAAGUUCUGCUGCUGUGGCCAAUAGCACAGGCCAUGGUUACUUAAAAUGGUAAGCAGAGGAUAUAAUAAUAGCCUAAUUUGUUAGUGGUGGGGUGGUUUUGUUUUGUGGUUUGAUUUUUCUUUUAACUUAUAUUCCUGACUAGAAAGUGAGCUUGAUGGCAAGUGGAGGCAUCAAGGGCUUGCCAGGAUUGAUCAUUAUAUUCCUGCCUGUGAAGGAUGUACAGGUGUCCCUCACCUUAGUGUUCAGUUGUUCAGCGAGAUGCAUUUCCAGCACCUCUUUCCUGUGUUACAGAGGCUGCCCCUUCCCAUGUCCUUUCUUUAUUUGCUGGUUUCUCAAGCUUUGUUUUUAGAGAUGACGCUGCCUGUGCUGUCCCGUGGAGUAAGAGGUAUGGUACAAGUCAAGCCUCAUGAAUUCUUUCCAACCCCUCAAAGAACAAGCAACGGCAUUUAAAGCCUCAGCUCCCAGGAAGACCACAUGGGCUGGGGCUGCAGCUGUGACUGCACCUACUGCAGUGGGGAGUAAGUACUACAAGCUCCUGUGCCUUACACUAAUCUUCAUCUGCUCUUCCUUCCUGAUCCUUGCCCUCACUCUGCUCUUGGGUAGGGAGCUGAACUUGUAGAACUUCUGCUUCUAACACUGAAGCCUUGGAGGAGCAGAGCUGUCCUAGAGGCUGUGGUCACAACACAGUUGUGUUCAACUGUGGCACAUCACACGCUCCAGAGCUGGUCCUGCUCCUCAGGGGUUUGUGUUGGUUCUUUAGCCCAUCAUGAGCGACCGUGAUGAGGAUACUUUUACAAAUAUGUACGUGCGUAUCCAGGAGAGGUGGCUAAGGCACCGUCCUUGGCACAAUCCGUUCAAUAUUGCAUAGUUCUAGUUCGAUAAAGGUCAGUGUUUGGGGAUUAGUUGUCAAGCAACAAACACUGAAGCCCAAGGGUCAAUUCUGCUAUCGUUGGAAGUCACAGCCUGUUGAUCUCCAUAGGGCUGUGACAGGGCAAUGCUGAUUUAAGCAACACUACCAUGAGGCCCUCCCUGUAAUUGUGACUGCGAGGUUGAUUCCAGGUUCAAGCCUGAGCUGUAAUUUAGUGCUCAGAUUCUGUGGUGUGCUCAACCCAGGGCAGCUGGCUCAGCUAGUCUGCAGCCCAAAGCUUGACUCAUGUUUUUGUCGGACAAGUAACCCAGCUGUGCCCCAGCAUCACCAAGUGCCUAAAUAAAGCAGACAUCUCCUCCCACAGAUCCACGGGGGGAGGCGAUUUCAGUUUGCUAUGGUGCCAGCAAUCCUGGGAGCAGCUUCCCAAAAGCCUUAGCAGCAAAAGCUACUAGUGAGCUCCAUGUCCCUCAGACCUGGCAGCUUCAGGCCAGCUCUACCUGCCCCUGCUUGUGCCAACCUUGACCCAUCGUGCUUGCAGCUCAAAGCCAGAGCAUGUAGUUAAUGUGGGUACUUCAUGCCCCAGCCAGGCUCAGCCAAGUUCCCUGCAUAGGUGAAGAGGGUGUCCUUGUUUGGCUUAAGCUACUUACACAAUUCAAGUGGCAAAUCUAUGAAUAAAAGUUAAUCAAGCUAGGCUGAUGGGUUAUUUAUGGUGGUAUCAUCCUAUGCCCAGGAAAAGAUGGAUGAUUUUAUACUGGAAGUGCUGACAUGCUUGAGCCUCAGGGUACCUGGGAACACGUAAUAGGGUUUUAUAUCCUCUCUCCUUGCUGAGAACGGCUGUUGGGAUGCUGCUGAGGUCCCUCUCCCUUGUGCUUUUUGUGGCUGGCUUCUUACUGUUGGUAGGAGUAGUGGCAGCACUAAACACAGCCUCCAAACCCCAGCAGUGAUGCUUUGAGUGCUGAUGGGAUUGUUAAGCCAACGUGAAGCCAUCCCUGUCUUCCCCCAAAGCGGCAACAUCCCCUUGUGCUGAAUCUGACCCCGUGCAUGCACUCACCCUGUCCAGGUCAACCCCUGGCUAAUCCAUCUCUAGCGCUGCUGGAAGCUGACCCUACCUCGGGGUGGGCUUCAGCACUGUCUAUUAUACACCCAGGAGCAGUAAUAUCGCAAGCAUAAGACUCCCUUACAAUUUCUACUUGAAAGCCUGACAGUCAAGUGCAUGAAGACUGCAACUUCGGUUUGCUAGACUUGAUGGCAGUGAUUACUUAACACAAUCUCAUAAUUACUACUGCCAGCUUUGACUCUUGCGUCAUACCUGCUAGUGCUGUCUGCCUUGAAUGCCAGAAGAGUUAUGUGACAUGCAAACAAACCUCUCCUAUUGCUUUUCCUUUUCCUUCCCCGUCUAUGCCAGGAUUCUAAUCUGACAAUUUAACGGGUAAUUUCCUCUGCUAUGUGCUUAAACCAUCCCUCUCUUUGUAGACUGCUGUGUGGUUUGUGUCCUGUACCAGGAGCUUUGGUCCUUCACUGGCAGCAUGAUGCUGGGACAUUGUGAUAGGGUGAGUGAGGGCAGAGAUGAACCAAGAGAGCUGUAGCCCCUACAGACAAAAAGGUCAGCCUCCCACUGCAAGAGAGACCACAGCCUGGGACUCCUCACCUGGCUCAGCCUGUGCUUCCCAUUACCAAGCUAACUCCACUAUCUCUAGUUCAGGCUGUACACAUCAAUGUUCCCUCAGUGUGAGUUCACCUGAGGGCAUCAGCCAGGGGCUGCUCAUCCUAGCAGUCCUCAGAGGAGAAUGACUUGCCUAGUGCAAGCACCAGCAUCUCCUCCUCAGCUGCAGUGUGGAGUAUCUCUCAGCAGAUGCCCUGUGCAAAACACGCAACCGCUCCUUACUCAUCGCCAGGUUCACAACAGCUUAUUUCUUCUGGGCACCUCUGCUAUGCAACACCUCCUCUCCAGUGGGAGGAGACUGAGACCAUAAGAAUUUGAUUUCCAAUAAGCAGCUGCUAUGUAGCUGGAUCACUGAAAAAUAUGGAGCCCUACAGGGAUAAUAGCCAAAAAGUCUGCUUUCUCUGACUUACGCUGCUUUGCUUUCACAUGAGGAGAGUCAAAAAAAGUCCUUGUUGGCCACCCUUGCCUUCCUCAGGAGUCGUCCUCAUGCACACUUUGUCAUGAGAGCAUUCUCUGGGUAACUCCCUGCCUGCUCAGGAGCAAUGGUUUUACUCGCAUAUUUUGCCCUGUAUUUCCCAAGACACCCACCUGUGCCAGGCCCCUCAAAGGCUGCAGAGCUGAGGAACUUGGCCCCAUAGAAAUGAACGUUUGGGUGGGUAAAGAAGGGAGAUGAACACAGAAAAAUGCAAUAUACUUGAAUGAAAUAAGAGACUUGUGUAGAUUCAUUUGAGCAAGAGAUGUGAAAUUGUCCUGGAGAAAUAAUUAAGGAGAAGGAGAUGAGGGGAUGGGAAGACUUUAAAGGACCUGAAGUAAUUCUGAAGAUGCUAAAAUUAAUGAAUAUUAGCUUCUGCUUUGGUGUUCAUCCUAGCACCCUGAAGAACAAUCAAGUAUCUCAAUUUUCUACUUAAAUAGUAUACUGUCUCCAUACAAAUGAUGGAAAUCUAUUGAAGCAGGAGCAGCACAAGAUACCCCUUACAUCUCCCUUUGAGAAGAAGACAGGAGCGUGUCAGGCUGUUCCCAGCAGGGAGGGGAUCGGACACUGCUUUCACUGAACUGAGCUCUCUGGGAUGCUCCGGCAGGGCAGGACUCCUGCUUGCAGUUACCCAGAUGGAGAUGCAGGAUGUCCAGCUGCCAGGCAGGGACCCCAGACCUGCGGCUGUGCUGGUAGGUUGGGAUUUGAGGGAGAAGGGGUCCAUACUGUGUUAUCCACUGCUGCUGGUAGCAUGGUUUUGGGGUAAGGGAUGGGGUACUGAAAGCGAUUGUCUGUCUUUGGCACAGGGAUAAGAACUGCGUUUUAUUAAGGAAUGGUAGUACAGUACAAAAAUAUGAUUGUAUAAAAUCUGUGAAAAAUAUGGCACCAUUUAAAAUACCCUUUUUUCCUUUCAUAUGUUCCUUUCUUUUAAAAAAAUAUAUAUUGUGAGCACUUCUAAUCUUUUGUCCACCAGCAUUAGGAAAUGAAGCAAGGUCUUCAAAUUACAGUUGAGAUAAAGGACAACCAAUAGUAUAAUUUGAAUUGUCUUAGAUUUGCCUCAAAAUCAAAAGUCUUCAGAAGAACCAGAAGGGGGUGGUGGUAUAAAGAAGCCCAGAAAAGUCUGGGGAAAUCAACAAAAAACCUUUUUUUUUUUGCUCACAGGACAUGAGAAUAUUCAGCAUUUGAACUCUUGAGGCUUUUAGGAGUGAAGUUCCCCAGCCCUGACCAGCAAAAGCUUCUGGGACAAGAAGCCCAUGAAGCAAACGACCCUGCCUGUGUUUGAAGAGAGGCUGGUGCUUUGCCAGGGUCAAGCCUAAGCCUUACAGCCUGUACCAGACCGCAUUCUUACUUGUCUGUUCUGGAUGCUCUUCAGCACCUCUCUCAGAUUUCCAUGGUACUGGGAUCCCAGAUGGAAAGCCACUUUGAUCAGGAAUUAAAGUAGGAAAACACUCCUUUACCUGACCAGAAAAAUGGUAAGCUUAUCCUGCUUUUUUCUAUUUUCCACAGUUAUAUAUAAGGAAAAAUAAUUACUGAGUAUGAAGUGAUAUGUUUCCAGCAACAUCUGGAAAUAAUAUUGUUUGGGAUAAAACUGUUUCUCCAAAGAGUCCAAGCAAAUCAGAAUCCUGUUUUUUCUCUUUACUGUCGGGCUGACUGCUAUUUUACACAGAGCUUUGUUCGUAACAGGAGCUAAUGAUUACAGAGUUAAAUUCCAUCAAUAUGCCUGGAAGUUACCUUGCAAUAUCAAAUCCUGUACAUUCUUACUAAUAAAUAUAAUUGCUGACACUAUUAAAACAGCCUACUUUGAAGAUGAGAUAGGUUAUCAAAGCAAGUUCUAUUGCAAUACAGAGACUAAGCACAGUCUAGUACAGAUGGAGAAAAAAGGUUAGAUUUUGAAAACUGCAGACUCGCCGGGGCUCUUAGGACAGUCUAAGGUCCUGUCUAUGUGGUGAAACUGUCUGGCACGACAUCUGUGGGGCAGCGACCUUAGCACUGUCAGACCUUUGCCAAGACCCCAGUGUGUUUCAUGUUGGGAUGCGAGUGCUGCUCGCUGUCACCGUGCAGGCAGCCCUGGGGCUGGAAAAUGGCCCAAAUGGAAACUGGCUGCUUAAUGAAGAGAAAAUAACACUGCUUAUGGUGAGCAUCAAAUGCCUAGUGGUUGGCAGAGUCGGACUGGAUGCAAAAGCAAGCUGACUCAUCUGCAUACAACAGCACAGAUCCAGAGACAGAAUGCCGGAAUCCAGGCUUUCUUGAGAUUCCCAUCAGCAAAAUAUUCUAUGGGAACUCCAUCUCUGAUCAAUCAGAAAGACAAGCCUUCAACUACAUCUUCAGACAAGUCCCUUGAGAAGAAUGUACUGGAAGUAUCUGCCAGAUGUGAAACAGGGGUGACUGUGGCUACAACGAGGUCACGAGAUGCUGAGCAAACGCUGGACAAGUGCAUGCUGAGAAAGGAUCAGAGAGUGAAAUCCUCAAAGGUGAUUUUGGGUGAAUGGGCUGAGUCUUGGGUCCACGGGACAAAGUCCACCUUAUUGCCCUCCAUGCUUUACUCUUAUCGAUGCUGUUGAUCUGGGUUUGUUGUGUGGUCCUCUGCACUCUACCAAGAUGCAAAGUUUGACUUCUCUGUUGCUUCUGAUCACAGUCUUCUCCAGUGCAUGAGAUGCUCCUUCUGGUCCUGUCUGCUCACAGCUAUGAAUACCUGGAAAUCCCAGCAACAUCAGAAAAGCACUAUGCUGUCCUCAUGCUCAAAGGAACAUAAGAGAAGCUGAGUGAAGAUUGUGUUGACUGGACCACAACAGCCCCAGCACAUUUAACUUCAAGACAUAGUCAAAUGCUUGGUCAGCUCCCCGGCAUGCUGUGAGCUGUAACGAGUACUAGCUGACAGCUGUGCUUCUGGAAAGCAGGUUGCAUUUCAGUUCCAAAUUUUAUCUGGAUUCAGCCUCGUGGGGGUUUCAUUAGAUCUACAGAAAGAAUGGAACGCUGAAAAAUACAGAGAGAGGAGGCAAGAGGAAGAUCAGCUCCACAGCUGUGCUUGAGCUAAAGCACCGAGCGAACGUAUUCUUGGUGGUUCAGGUUUUGGGUGUUACGGAGUUCUCACAUAGGACAGGCAUGUUGGUUCUUUUUCUCAGUGUACACGAAGAGGAUAUAUAUUUAUUUUAGAAAAACACUUAGCCAGAAGGAAGACAACAUGUAGUGAAAGAUAAAUUAUGCAGAUAAUGUUCUAUUAUGCGCACAGAGUAAAAAGUACAAGGGAUAUGAAUUUCCCCAGGGAGUCACCUCUGAAAGGGGAGGCUGGGACAACACACAAAAUAAAAUGAAGAAGAAGAGGAAGGAAAAAAAUGAAUUGGAAGUAGUCAGUUCUGGCAGAUUUUGCUGGAAGGAGAAAGAAGACUGAAUGAGCAAAAGAUUGUGCUGGGGGCAACUCCUUCUAAAGAAAGGGCUUUGGAUUGGCUGUGUCACUUGUCCAGGUCACUCCUCCAACUCCUGAGGACAGUGUUUUGACCCUGCAGGUAUUUACAGAGGGUGAGGUGAGUGACUGGAAAGUGUGAAAAGAACCAAUGUAGAAAACAGUUGGCAGCGUGCGCUCUCCUGCUGCAGGAAAGCCUCCAGGCUUCCCCUGUGCUCUGAGGUGGGGAAUGCACUGGCUUUUUAUAGUUCUGGUCCGUCCUAUAUGGGCUGUCGAGGUCUGACAAGAUCUAUUCCUGUGGGUUGUGUGGCAAUGUAAGAUCAGAUACAGCAUGCAAAGCAGCCCCUGGUCUUGCCAGAGACAAGACAAAAGUCUGCUGAGGGUGGAGUAAUAAUUGUAUUUGAAGAGCACAACAGAGAGAGAGUCUCAGUGGGCAGUAACACUUCAUUUCAUCAGGAGCAGCAAAAAGAUAGCAAAAAGAUGCUUCUCUAAAGUCUUUCUCGUUUCACCCCCAGAGCUGUACCUUGUAUUGCAGGUCUCUUCAAAGCUGGCGUUUUGAACCAGUCCUGUUACCGUUUGAGCUGAUGCUCAGCUCCACUGCAGCAGUCCUGAUGUGCUCAUGCUUCUCCUGCAUGGUGCAGUGGGCUGAGCUGUGCUCAGGUGAACAAACAGAGAAAAUAAAACAGGUUGGGUUUUUUCCAGCCCUUGAGAUAGGUACGGAAGGUGGUGGUCUCCUCCUGUGACAGUGCACACUGGUUUUCCUCAGUGUGCUCAGCCUCAGACUCUCUGACCUGGCGUCUGGAGUCCUUGAGGUGAGGUGCCGAAGGGACACAGCAUUUCACAGGCUUUGCUGCAGCCAUCGGCAGACAUGUAAUUGGCUCUUCCCAUGGGCUGCCAUCAUGAGCUUCACUGUGGAUAAAAAAAAAAGAGAAAACAAAUCCAAGUGCCAGGACCCCUGUGGCUCUACCUUCACACACGUGCUUGCGGUGAGCACUGUACCACUAUGCUAGGCACUGACCUCCUGCAAGCAGGCGCUGUAGGAAUCACUCCCAUUCCCUGUGCUCACCACGCUACAGCCCCACGUUAUGAAAACAAGCUUAUCAGUCUUUUGGGUUCGUGUUGACACUUGCAGGUUCAGAGGCUUUUUGUUUGUUUGCUUUCUCUAUGCUCCUCAGUGCAUAAUUGGCCAGAUACAUUCCUGUUUUCUUUUCCUUACAGCUUUCUACCAGGCAUUACACAACUGGAGCCUGGAAUAAUUUGUUGAUGUUGUACAAAUAAAUUGUCUCUCUUGGAGACCUGGCUGAUGUGAUCAAAACUCACAAAUGGUAUCGGACCAGACGGCUGUUGA